UGACGCUGGCGGCACGCCUUACACAUGCAAGUCGAGCGGUCAAAAUGAGGGAGCUUGCUCCCGAAAGAUGAGCGGCGGACGGGUGAGUAAUGCGCGGGAACGCGCCCUUUGGAGGGGGACAACCUUGGGAAACCAGGGCUAAUACCGCAUAACCUCCACGGAGCAAAGCGGGGGAUUUCUUCGGAAACCUCGCACCAAAGGAGCGGCCCGCGUCCGAUUAGUUUGACGGCGGGGUAACAGCCCACCGUGACUACCAUCGGUAGCUGGUCUGAGAGGAUGAUCAGCCACACCGGGACUGAGACACGGCCCGGACUCCUACGGGAGGCAGCAGUGGGGAAUAUUGGACAAUGGGGGAAACCCUGAUCCAGCGAUGCCGCGUGUGUGAAGAAGGCCUUCGGGUUGUAAAGCACUUUCGCAGGGGAAGAAACGGUGCGCUCUAACAUAGCGUACAACUGACGGUACCCUGAAAAGAAGCGCCGGCUAACUCCGUGCCAGCAGCCGCGGUAAU
This 508-nucleotide ribosomal RNA is filed under the name uncultured bacterium. RNAcentral describes it as "bacterial SSU rRNA". It matches the Rfam family "Bacterial small subunit ribosomal RNA", at positions 33 to 524 of the family's 1533-position model. The record is from RNAcentral.